Molecule: ribosomal RNA, 253 nt
Filed under: uncultured bacterium
Lineage: Bacteria
Description: partial 16S ribosomal RNA
Rfam family: Bacterial small subunit ribosomal RNA
Source: RNAcentral
UACGAAGGGUGCAAGCGUUAUUCGGAAUUACUGGGCGUAAAGCGUGCGUAGGUGGUGAGUUAAGUCUGAUGUGAAAUCCCCGGGCUCAACCUGGGAAUGGCAUUGGAUACUGGCUCGCUAGAGUGCGGUAGAGGGUGGUGGAAUUCCCGGUGUAGCAGUGAAAUGCGUAGAGAUCGGGAGGAACAUCUGUGGCGAAGGCGGCCACCUGGACCAACACUGACACUGAGGCACGAAAGCGUGGGGAGCAAACAGG